Long non-coding RNA from Nomascus leucogenys (northern white-cheeked gibbon), 804 nucleotides. RefSeq lists it as uncharacterized. Lineage: Eukaryota; Metazoa; Chordata; Mammalia; Primates; Hylobatidae. The record is from RefSeq and is a predicted model, not a curated record. The transcript is spliced from 3 exons.
AAGAAGGGGAGGAGCUCACUUCUCGGGCCUCCCCCGCGGGGGAUUCUGUACCAGAAUAACACCCCCGGGGCCAGGGUCAGGGCGGCGCACUCGCCCCCGCCUGUCCCAGCGCGAUCCCAUUCGGCGGGCCCAGGUAGCCUGCGGCUGAGAGAAGGCUCGGGUGACCCCCAGCCCCGCCUUCUGCAGGGCGCGCGAGGCCAGAGGAAAAAUCUUCGCUGAGUUGAUGAAGUUGAAGUUUCGUUCAGGGCGUGAAGGAGACGGCCAAUCAGCGGGCCGCUAUUUACAUGGGCUCUCUGAUUGGCUCUUACGGUGCCUCUUUAAAAUGUUACUUUGAGACCUUCACAGAACUAAAAGCCCCCCGUUGAGGGCGGGGGAAGGCUCAGAAGCUCCAAGGUUUCAUUGACACAGCCUGGAGACCCAGCUCUGUCAGUCAAUUCUACAUAGCCUUCACCCAGAGCCUGACAGUGUAUAUGAACAAGAGGCUGUGCCUGAUGAGUGCUUCUGCCACUUUCUCCAGGAUGACAGCCGUGGACUCCUGCCAUAUCCAACACCCCUUUGCUGCUCCCCACCGCCCUCCUUGGCACCCAGGUGGCUGAUCUCCUAUGGUCUUGCUGGCUUCUCUACCUUGUAUGCUGAGGGUAGGCCCAGCCUGCCCCAGCUCAGGGUCUGCACAUAGUAGGUGCUUGCAUGUUGCCUGCUAAACUGACAGCCCUGUAACCAUGUCAGCACAAAGCAACCAGCAUUUUGGGUGCAUCUGCAGUUAAAAUAAACCACUGAGGUCAUGGGUCUGUUCUCUCUGCAAAA